This 4485-nucleotide small RNA is filed under the name Arabidopsis thaliana (thale cress). RNAcentral describes it as "ATSL158800". Lineage: Eukaryota; Viridiplantae; Streptophyta; Magnoliopsida; Brassicales; Brassicaceae. The record is from RNAcentral.
UGGGUUUCUAAUCAUCUUUAUUGAUGACAUUAUGGUGUAUUCUAAGAGUCCUGAGGAGCAUGAGGUACAUCUGAGGAGAGUGAUGGAGAAGCUGCGGGAGCAGAAGUUGUUCGCUAAGUUGAGUAAGUGCAGUUUUUGGCAGAGAGAGAUGGGUUUUCUGGGUCACAUUGUUUUUGUAGAGGGAGUUUCAGUGGAUCCAGAGAAGAUUGAGGCUAUCAGAGAUUGGCCUAGACCGACGAAUGCCACUGAGAUCAGGAGUUUUCUUGGGUUGGCAGGGUAUUACAGGAGGUUCGUCAAGGGGUUUGCGAGUAUGGCACAGCCGAUGACUAAGCUAACAGGGAAGGAUGUUCCUUUUGUGUGGUCACCGGAGUGCGAGGAGGGUUUCUUGAGCCUGAAGGAGAUGUUGACGAGUACACCAGUGUUAGCAUUGCCAGAGCAUGGAGAGCCUUACAUGGUGUAUACUGAUGCCUCGAGAGUUGGUUUGGGUUGUGUUCUGAUGCAACGUGGGAAGGUUAUUGCUUAUGCAUCACGGCAGUUGAGGAAGCAUGAGGGCAACUAUCCUACUCACGAUUUGGAGAUGGCUGCGGUAAUCUUUGCCUUGAAGAUUUGGAGGUCUUAUCUUUAUGGCGGGAAAGUGCAGGUGUUCACAGAUCAUAAGAGUUUGAAGAAUAUCUUAACUCAGCCAGAGCUGAACCUGAGGCAGAGGCGAUGGAUGGAGUUGGUGGCUGAUUAUGAUAUGGAGAUAGCUUACCAUCCUGGUAAGGCUAAUGUGGUUGCAGACGCGUUGAGCCGUAAGCGCGUGGGCGCGGCUCCAGAGCAGAGUGUUGAGGCCUUGGUGAGUGAGAUUGGUGCUUUGCGGUUGUGUGCUGUGGCACGAGAGCCAUUGGGAUUGAAAGCUGUGGAUCGAGCAGAUCUUCUGACUAGAGUUCGGUUGGCUCAAGAGAAGGAUGAGGGGUUGAUUGCGGCUUCUAAAGCAGAGGGCUCUGAGUAUCAGUUUGCAGCUAAUGGGACUAUCCUUGUGCAUGGGCGAGUUUGUGUGCCUAAGGAUGAGGAGUUGCGACGGGAGAUCUUGAGUGAGGCUCAUGCGAGCAUGUUUUCCAUUCAUCCAGGAGCGACUAAGAUGUACCGAGACCUCAAGCGGUACUAUCAGUGGGUCGGGAUGAAGAGGGAUGUAGCUAAUUGGGUUGCAGAGUGCGAUGUUUGCCAGUUAGUUAAGGCUGAGCAUCAGGUGCCUGGUGGCCUGUUGCAGAGUUUACCCAUUCCUGAGUAGAAGUGGGAUUUUAUCACGAUGGAUUUUGUGGUUGGGUUGCCUGUGUCGCGAACCAAAGAUGUUAUUUGGGUGAUCGUGGACCGUUUGACUAAGUCAGCACAUUUUCUGGCCAUCAGAAAAACCGAUGGAGCGGCGGUGUUGGCUAAGAAAUAUGUGAACGAGAUCGUGAAGUUGCAUGGAGUACUUGUGAGUAUUUUGUCAAGCAGGGAUUCCAAGUUUACUUCUGCAUUUUGGAGAGCCUUUCAGGCAGAGAUGGGCACUAAGGUGCAGAUGAGCACGGCUUAUCAUCCACAGACAGAUGGGCAAUCUGAGAGGACUAUUCAGACGCUGGAGGAUAUGUUGCGGAUGUGUGUCUUGGAUUGGGGAGGUCAUUGGGCGGAUCACUUGAGUCUGGUAGAGUUUGCUUAUAACAAUAGCUAUCAGGCGAGUAUUGGGAUGGCUCCUUUUGAGGCGUUGUACGGGAGGCCACGCAGGACACCGUUAUGCUGGACCCAAGUGGGGGAGAGGAGCAUAUAUGGUGCAAACUAUGUUCAGGAGACCAUGGAGAGGAUCCGGGUUCUUAAGCUGAACAUGAAGGAAGCUCAGGAUCGACAGCGGAGUUAUGCUGACAAGAGGAGGAGAGAGCUUGAGUUUGAGGUUGGGGACAGAGUGUAUCUUAAGAUGGCCAUGUUGCGAGGUCCGAACAGGUCUAUCUCAGAGACUAAGUUGAGUCCGAGGUACAUGGGUCCGUUCAGGAUUGUUGAGAGGGUGGGACCAGUGGCAUACAAGUUAGAGUUGCAUGAUGUUAUGCGUGCAUUUCACAAGGUCUUUCAUGUGUCGAUGCUGAGGAAGUGUCUUCACAAGGAUGAUGAGGUGUUGACUAAGAUUCCAGAGGAUCUUCAGCCCAACAUGACUUUGGAGGCGAGACCAGUGAGGGUUCUCGAGAGGAGGAUCAAGGAACUUCGGCGGAAGAAGAUUCCUUUGAUCAAAGUUUUGUGGGACUGCGAUGGUGUGACAGAGGAGACUUGGGAGCCAGAGGCGAGGAUGAAGGCAAGGUUCAAGAAGUGGUUCGAGAAGCAGGUUGCUGCAUGAGUUUGCCUUUCCUUGGUUUCCAGUUUCAGUGUUGUUGAGUUUUUGAGCUUUUGAGUUGUUGUUCUUAUUUAUCUUUCAUUUGUAUUUUCGUUUGGAGUUGUAAUGAUCAUGACAAUUGAUGAUUAAUAAGAUGAGUAUUUUUUUUCUUGGAUUUGACUUGAGUUGUCUUAUUUAAGAAUGUGUUGUGCGGUUUCCAAAAAUGGAAAGUUUCCUAGAAAGGACUUGUCUAUUUUUGGAAAGUUUGAGUAAACAACCUAAGAGAAAGGUGUGUUUACGAGAUGGUCGGGAUUUGGUCAUAAGGAUGUUCUCGAGGGGAUAUGAUGGAUGGUGAGGCAUAGAGGUGUCUUACGCGAAUCCAUGAGAGAGUCUGGAGAUAUGCUUAGAAGCGUUUAGUAUUGUUGCUCGAGGGACAUGAGGGUCCCAACGACUCGUGAGGAGCGGGGUAUGCUCCUGAGGUACCGGUAACUCGAGGGACAUGGUGUCUUUAUAGUACGAGGGGUACGGUGGCUUCGGGUGACGAUCAGAGAGCACGCUUUAGGGUGACGACCCGAGAGCGAGUUUUGUGGUAUUAUUUUCUCCAAGUGUCGUAACUCGAUGACUUUGUGGCUGAGAGUGAGACGACACAACUCAGGGUUUGACUUUGAGUGGGGAAGAUAAUAUGUGUGAUACCCGAGAUACCGUAGGCCGAGGCCUGAGAGUGACGGUUUAUGCUCGAAGAUUGCGGUCUGAGAGUGGAGAGUGAGUUGUGAGCAACAAUGACUAGUAAAUCGUGAGUAUAUCGACUGGAUAGAGAGACCUAGAGGGGAUCUGGUUGGAGGGAGUGCGGACUGUAGUGAUGGUUGCACGGAGUUCCUCGGAGUGGAAGGGUGAAGCUAGAUUCGAGGACGAAUCUAUGUUAGUGGGGGAGAAUUGUAACGCCCGUGAACCGGAAAAUCGGUUAGGGUUUGUUUUUAAAUCAUCCGGUUUAAUUGGUUGGGUUAAUUGGAAAUCCUAGAGUGUGCCUAUAAAAGAAGGAAACUCAAAAUUAGGGUUUUAGUUAGCCACUUUUCGUUUUAUAAAGGAGAAAAAGAGAGAAAAGGAGAAGGAGCAGAAUCGUUAGGGUUUGGGAGAAAUCAGUUUCGUCAUAUCAAAUCGUGGUAAAAGGUAACGCAAUUUGGUAGCGUUAUGCCCAAGUCUUUAUCGUUAUUCUCCAGUUUACAGAAUUGGAUUUGGAUUAAAAUUGGUUGAGUUAUUCACAGUUUCGUGAGACACGUUUUCGCAGACGCGAAUUAGGACCAGCGGAGAUUGAAACUGAGAUCGUGGUCUCGUCUGUUUUCCGAUCGGCACGAUAUUUUGUGGGCAGCUUUGUGACGUCUGCAGCUAGAAUUUCACCGGAGCGAUUGAAUAGUUAACGGUUAUUUUGUAUUUUAGGGUUUCGUCUUUGAGACUGCUUGUUUUUGGUUUUUCCUGUCCAGUUUGCUUCAAGGUUGCUUUUGGUUGUGGACUUGUUGUAGGACGUUUCUGGACUGUUUCAGACGCAAGGAGAGUCUCUCCUUGGUUUAAUUGCUAUUAGAAUCAAUUUGUUAAGGUGAGUGCGUGACCAUGAGCUUAUCUAAGUGAUUGGGUUGUGUGAUUUGUUUUGUGUGAUGAUAUGUAGGUGUGGUGAAUGUGUUUUGGGUGAAUUGUUCAAUGACUGGUUUGUUUGUAUUGUAUUCGUGAUUAUACCCUUUUAUUUGCUUGUGUGUAUAGCUCGUAGAUCGGAGGAUCGCCUCACUAAGUAUUUAUGAUAAUACUUACGCAUCUCAUUGUGUUGUUGAUGCAGGUAAAGAUAAAGUGUGAUCGUGGAAUCAUGGCAAGGAAGAGAGGAUGAUCUAGGAACUCGUUUGUUUUAUUUUUGGUGUUUUUGGUUAUUGGAACCCGGUUAGGAUUGUCAGUUAUUCUUGGUUUUGUUGGUCGAAUUAUUUAUUUAUUCAUAAAAUAGUAUUUUUGACUUGCGGUUUAAUUAUUAUGUUAUUGGUUGGUUUAAUUAGAUAUUUAUGGGAAUAUUUAAUUAUAUUUAUAAAAAAAAAUGGGUCGGGUUGUUUCAAUUUCUAACAUAAGACUUGAAAAGCCCAAAGAUUCUACAUAGAAAAUAUAGUAUCAUUACAAAUUUGUUAAAGAUCCUA